RNAcentral lists this ribosomal RNA (510 nucleotides) under uncultured bacterium. RNAcentral's name for it is "partial 16S ribosomal RNA". It matches the Rfam family "Bacterial small subunit ribosomal RNA", at positions 28 to 507 of the family's 1533-position model. The record is from RNAcentral.
GACGAACGCUGGCGGCGUGCUUAACACAUGCAAGUCGAACGAAGAGCGAUGGAAGCUUGCUUCUAUCAAUCUUAGUGGCGAACGGGUGAGUCACGCGUAAUCAACCUGCCCUUCAGAGGGGGACAACAGUUGGAAACGACUGCUAAUACCGCAUACGAUCUAAUCUCGGCAUCGAGGAUAGAUGAAAGGUGGCCUCUACAUGUAAGCUAUCACUGAAGGAGGGGAUUGCGUCUGAUUAGCUAGUUGGAGGGGUAACGGCCCACCAAGGCGAUGAUCAGUAGCCGGUCUGAGAGGAUGAACGGCCACAUUGGGACUGAGACACGGCCCAGACUCCUACGGGAGGCAGCAGUGGGGAAUCUUCCGCAAUGGACGAAAGUCUGACGGAGCAACGCCGCGUGAGCGAUGACGGCCUUCGGGUUGUAAAGCUCUGUUAAUCGGGACGAAAGGCCUUCUUGCGAAUAGUGAGAAGGAUUGACGGUACCGGAAUAGAAAGCCACGGCUAACUACGUG